UUGAAGAGAAUACUUCGCCUUGAUUUUAUCAAUUAACACAAAAUAAACCUAAAACAUCACAGAUACAUGACUGGUAUUACAGCACAUUAUUGUAGUAAUGCUGCCAUCAGCUGGUAAAAAGAUGAAAUAGCAGGGUCCACGACACAAGGAAGUGACUGAAGUGCAAGUGAACAGCAGUUAGAGCUCAUCGAGAACAAACUCUUAUUUUCACAUUAAUUCCAGAAAUUAUCUGCAGGAUAUUCACUGACUCUGAAAGGAGUGUAUAUAUGUAGACAAUCCUCACCCCCUGAACACAGACGAAUAAAAUAAAGGUUUAAACACAAGAGGAAGCAAAUGGCUGAAUCUUCACAACCAACAAAAGGCAGAAAAAGGAAGAUCAUGAGUGAAACACAUACAUUUUGUGACUCCAGCAGUCUCCUGUCUGAAGAUCAGCUGUUAUGUUCGAUCUGUCUGGAUGUUUUUGCUUAUCCAGUCACCACUCCAUGUGGACACAACCUCUGUAAGAGCUGCCUUACAGAGUACUGGGAGAAGAGUCAACACUAUCUCUGUCCGUUAUGUAAAGAGGUAUUCACCAAGAGACCUGAACUGAAGAUUAAUACAACACUGAGAGAGGUUGCAGAUCACUUCAAGAAGAAAAGUGCUGUUGACAAACCUGAGGUUCUUUGUGAUGCCUGCAGUGGA
This is a long non-coding RNA of Tachysurus fulvidraco (yellow catfish), 681 nucleotides long. RefSeq lists it as uncharacterized. The transcript has 3 exons. The record is from RefSeq and is a predicted model, not a curated record. Lineage: Eukaryota; Metazoa; Chordata; Actinopteri; Siluriformes; Bagridae.